Molecule: long non-coding RNA, 1234 nt
Filed under: Homo sapiens (human)
Lineage: Eukaryota; Metazoa; Chordata; Mammalia; Primates; Hominidae
Description: long non-coding RNA NONHSAT207147.1
Source: RNAcentral
GUUUGCUGUAAGAAGAAAUACUUUGAUUUUGAUCGUGAGAUCCUCCCCUUCACUUCUGAGAAUUGGGACAGUUUGCUCCUGGGGGAGCUUUCAGACACCCCCAAAGGAGAACGUUCUUCCAGGCUCCUCUCUGCUCUUAACAGCCACAAGGACCGUUUCAUUUCAGGGAGAGAGAUUAAGAAGAGGAAAUGUUUGUUUGGUCUCCAUGCUCGGAUGCCUCCCCCUGUGGAGCCCCCUACUGGAGAUGGAGCACUCACCAGGGCCCUGGGGGAGGGGUCUCACGUCCCCUGGGGAAGCGCCGGAGGCCGGAGCCAGAGCCCCUGAGGAGGAGGCAGAAGGGGAAAGUGGAGGAGCUGGGGCCACCCUCAGCAGUGCGCAAUCAGCCCGAGCCCCAGGAGCAGAGGGAGCGGGCUCAUCUGCAGAGGGCACUGCAGGCCUCAGUGUCUCCACCAUCCCCCAGCCCUAACCAGAGUUACCAGGGCAGCAGCGGCUACAACUUCCGGCCCACAGAUGCCCGCUGCCUGCCCAGCCCCAUCCGGAUGUUUGCUUCCUUCCACCCUUCUGCCAGCACCGCAGGGACCUCUGGGGACAGUGGACCCCCAGACAGGUCACCCCUGGAACUUCACAUUGGUUUCCCCACAGACAUCCCUAAAAGUGCCCCCCACUCGAUGACUGCCUCAUCUUCCUCAGUUUCAUCCCCAUCCCCAGGUCUUCCUAGACGCUCAGCACCCCCUUCUCCCCUGUGCCGUAGUUUGUCUCCUGGGACUGGGGGAGGAGUCCGAGGUGGGGUUGGUUACCUGUCCCGAGGGGACCCUGUCCGGGUCCUUGCUCGGAGAGUACGGCCUGAUGGCUCUGUGCAGUACCUGGUUGAGUGGGGAGGAGGGGGCAUCUUCUGAACAGCCUGCCUCUGCCCAGCUCCCCAUUCACACACACCGGCACUUUCAUACCCUGACCUCUGACCUCACCUACAGCUGGGAUGUACCUGGAGAGAUAGGGGGUAGUUCUCCCUACUGCCCAGGCUGGAAUCCAAGAGUGGGGAGUGGGGAAGAGGCCCUCUUCUCUACCCUCCUUCAUGAUUCCUGACCCCUCCCAUCCUUCCCAUUUCCUUUGAUGUUAUUUUGUUACAGCUUUUUAAAUAUUUUUUAAAAUUAUUUAACCCCUGGGGGCAGAGACUGAGGAGGGAGGAUGAUAAGGGAUCCCGGACUCUGUAUGAUUGAAAUAAAGAGAAAUAAAC